AUCAGACAGUCAUUAGAAUCCCUUCUUGGAGCCCCUGAAUAAGCAAUGCAUGAAGCUGUGGGAGUGAGAUCAAAGCUGCCAUGGAGACCCCAGGAAGCCUGAGUUUCCAAGAAAAUGAACCCACUUCUGAGGAAAGUUUCAGGCAGUGAGCAGAGUCAUCCCAGGACAGAGGCACAGAGCUGGUAUAGGAUCCCACACAGCCUGCAGGUGGUCCCAAGAGCAAGCACUCUGAAGGAACAAGGGAAAGAUAAUCAGAUCCAUGCACACUUGCUGACCAGUAGUGGCAGAUCCUGUCCUGUGACAAAGACCUUAAAAAUAUCCCAAAUGCAAAAAAAAAAAAAAAAGACUGUAGAAAUUCCUGCCUUACCACCCCACUUUUACUGGACUGGCUGUACCCUCUGAAUAGGACAUGAAGACCACAGAGCUUGGUGAAUUAUGAUUUGAUUUGAACUCAAGUUAUGGAGCCAAAAACAUGUUUUGCAAUCUGCUGGACCAAAGUUAUUUACGGAUUGUUUUUUCCAGGCAAAAGAAAAAUUUUAAGGCAGGGAUACAUACCCGUUAACACAGGUCUUUGUCUCCAGGAAACCAGUUAUCACCACAAGGACAAAGAAAUGCACCAAGGCAGUGGUACUGAAAAGUAGGAGAGUCACAAAACUACUUCAAGAAAUGCAUGGAAUUAAGAUUGACAGUACAAAGUACCAAGAGGAUGGACAACUUUCUAAUGUAGAGUACUGUUUAUGAUCUUAUCAUAAAUUAUCCAUCAUCUAUGUAUAUAAAUACAUUUA
Long non-coding RNA from Fukomys damarensis (Damara mole-rat), 785 nucleotides. RefSeq lists it as uncharacterized. The transcript is spliced from 6 exons. The record is from RefSeq and is a predicted model, not a curated record. NCBI's taxonomy places the organism in Eukaryota, Metazoa, Chordata, Mammalia, Rodentia, Bathyergidae.